This is a long non-coding RNA of Leopardus geoffroyi (Geoffroy's cat), 154 nucleotides long. RefSeq lists it as uncharacterized. The record is from RefSeq and is a predicted model, not a curated record. Lineage: Eukaryota; Metazoa; Chordata; Mammalia; Carnivora; Felidae. The transcript is spliced from 2 exons.
CCAACUAAUCUUUGCCAAAGCAGGAAAGAACAUCCAGUGGAAAAAAGACAGUCUCUUUAACAAAUGGUGCUGGGAGAACUGGACAGCAACAUGCAGAAGAAUGAAACUGGACCUCUUUCUUACACCAUAAUCAAAAAUAAACUCAAAAUGGAUG